Molecule: ribosomal RNA, 497 nt
Filed under: uncultured bacterium
Lineage: Bacteria
Description: partial 16S ribosomal RNA
Rfam family: Bacterial small subunit ribosomal RNA
Source: RNAcentral
GAUGAACGCUGGCGGCGUGCCUAAUACAUGCAAGUCGAGCGAACGGACGAGAAGCUUGCUGGUCGGAUGUUAGCGGCGGACGGGAGAGUAACACGUGUAUAACCUACCUAUAAGACGGGGAUAACUUCGGGAAACCGGAGCUAAUACCGGAGAAUAUCUUGAACCGCAGGGUGCAAAGGUGAAAGACGGUCGUGCUGGCACGUAUAGAGGGAUCCGCGCUGCAUUAGCUAGUUGGUAAGGUAACGGGUUACGAAGGGAACGAGGCAUAGCCGACCUCAGAGGGUGGUCGGCCGCCCUGGAGCUUGACCGCCCUCCUGACGCCUACGGUACGCCGCAGUCUGCUAUCGUCCGCAAUGGGCGAAAGCCUUACGGAGCAAGCCCGCGUGAGUUAUGACGGUCUUCCGAUCGUGAUGCUCUCUUACUAGGGAUGAACCUAUGUGUCCUUAACUGUGCCCAUCUUGACGGUAACUAGUCAGAAAGCCCCGGCUAACUACGUG